Molecule: unclassified non-coding RNA, 832 nt
Filed under: Hevea brasiliensis (rubber tree)
Lineage: Eukaryota; Viridiplantae; Streptophyta; Magnoliopsida; Malpighiales; Euphorbiaceae
Source: RNAcentral
AACCCAUAAAGGAGAAAUAAACUUACAAACACCAUUCUUUUAAUUCACGAAACGACAAUAAGAAGAAAAGAAGACAUGUUCAGCUACUAUGACAAUUUUGCAUUUGUGAACAUUUUUUCUUUAAUAAUCAUUUUGAGACUUUUUGAACAACUGGCUGUAAUUACCUUUGAUAGUUAGAACCCAUGAGUGCAUACAUCAGCCGCGUCGCAAAGGGUAUUAGAAGUAUUGCACCAGGCAGUGCAUUUGAAAAUGGAUGAAUACCGAAGGAUCUCGACCCAACGUGCAGCUUUCCAACUCAAUCAAUCAUGCUUUUUGUGAAGCUUGAAGCCAAAAACUCUGGGAACAUAGCCUUGUGUGGCUUUUUGUGGCUUCAGGUGUCCGUAUGUCAUCAAAAACAAGUGCGGGAAUGUGGUUCCAAAAUACGCUCCAUCAAUAUUGCCUUGAUACUUUGAACGAGGGUAAUAUAUGUCUUCACAUUUUGGGCAAUAUAUCUUUACAGUGCUUGAACGAGGAAUAUCUGACUGCCCCACUGGAAGGCAUGGUUGUCCACAGCAGUACACUCUUGGGCACCUUCCAAAGUCAUAGUUUUUAUACUUCUCCAGCAUUGCAGAUAUUCCUUUGCCGGUUAGUAUGUAUCUGACAUGAAUAAGACCAUACAGCAUCUCAGCAGCUGACUCAACUAGUUCAUUCUGUUCUUCAGUGAACAUGUCACCAUGAGAAGAUUCAACAUCCAAAAUAAGAUCAAGUGCAUAGUCAUAGUACGGAACUUGACUGCUCAAGCCACAAAGAUUGAAAUCAUCUUGUAUAUACUCAUCGUCAACUUCACAAAAAA